UAUUGAUACUUGAGAGGUUGAUGAUUCUUGUAGAUAACUUGCUGUAUCAAUGAUAAACGUGCAUUCGUUUCAUCAAAGUUGAUUGUAUUUCUCAAUUCGUCCUUCUCUGCUUCAUCUUCUUUUAGCCAUCUUUUUAAGGUAAUAUGCUUAAUUGAACUUUAUUUCGUAUUUUGUUCAUAAAAAAGUGUUCUACAAAUUUUUAGAUGAGAUGGCAUAUAAUGCCUCCAAUCACAUGCUGAUCCACAUUCUACCUCACACUUUUAUACGAAUUACCUUUGUCACAUUCAUGCUUUAGUAAGUCCCUUCUGGCAUGCUUAACCUAGAGCUCCCAAGUGAUGCUGACCAAGUUUUUGAUGACUGAAUCAUGUUUGUGGUCCAUCAGUUGACAUCGUUAAGAUUUUGUAAUGUUUCUUUUUGAGCCUUAUCUUUUUUUACAUCUCCAUAUAGAAGAGGGAACUAAGAAAUUUCAGUUAAUGAAGAUUUGAGGGACUUAUAAUUGCCCCCUUCUAUGUAUAUCACUGUCACACAUUGCUCACUCAUUUAUCUCUUCACUCUUUUAUACCGGUGACCUCUGUAAAAUUUCUGCUUUAGAAAGAUCUUCUGGCAUCUUCAGGUCGAAUUUUUCCAGAGGCGCUGGGAGUUAAGAACCCAAUCUGAUGGCAGACAAUCAUCCUUUGCAUUCACAUGUAGUGAAUGUCCUAUAAUUGACCUUACCGACAUGGCUCUCCAUGUAAUUAGAUAGGUCUCCUAUUUCAAAAUCUAGGGGCUCAAGACAAUAUGCUUUUACCUCCAAACUAACACACAAUUAUCAAUAUGAACCUAAAUUUCUACGAGCAAUAUUAAGGUGCUGAUUGGAUCUUUCCUGCUGCUGGGUAUUUUUUAAGAAUCUCCAACACAUACCUUUUUUUUCUGAUUGAUUUAUGUUUUUAUUGCAUAAUAAUUUUUCGUCAUGGGUUUACAGAUAUUGCAUAAUGGGAUUUUGUAGGUGAAACAAGUGCUGCCAGUGUGCUAGUGAAGCUUAAGUUUAAUCGAUAUACUCGGUUUCAUUACAUGAUAAUAAUUUGGAUCUUCUUGGUCGACAGGCAUAUGUGAGUUCUCUAGUUGGUUUGCAUUUUUUUCAUUCUCUUCUAGAUAUUUGUUUAUAGUGUUCUGAUAUGUUUGUUAUGGAACAUAUUUUUUUUCCAGUUUGUCGCCUAAGGGAUUGGGACCUAGGAUUUGGUCUAAUCUAAUCAUUCACGAUUGCCUGCAGCUCAGGAGGUUUUUGAGAGCAUUAGUUUUUCCCCUGUGAGGAGAGAGGGUAAUAUGGUUGCCCAUGGGUUAACUAAAUUGGUUCAUUCUCCUGUGUUUUUUGUUUUUGUGUUUAAUGGGAGGAGUACCUGAUUUUAUCCUUCCUCUUGUUACUUUGGAUGCUCUGCCUUAAUUUAUUUAAGUCCUUUUUUGGGCUGUUUCAAAAAUAAAAUAAAAUAAAAAUAUGC
This 1475-nucleotide long non-coding RNA is filed under the name Panax ginseng (ginseng). RNAcentral describes it as "long non-coding RNA (PGIN_LNC016119)". Lineage: Eukaryota; Viridiplantae; Streptophyta; Magnoliopsida; Apiales; Araliaceae. The record is from RNAcentral.